CAGAGCCAAUAAAACUUUUCUUUUGAGUGAUUUGCAGCUUUUAACAAACUGAACCUGCUUAUUUCUGUGAACCAACCAGUGAUCUCUUAUGGCUGUUCAAAAGUAACAAGAGAGAUAUCACCUUUUGUCAUAACUCAAGACUUAUGAAUGGCCCUCACCAUAAUGAUGCUUUUUGACUGAGCUCUUCUCUAACCUGAAUGCAAGAGGUUAGGCAUGAAUAUCAUCCCCCCUGUUCAGCCUGAAGAAGUUACAGAAGAUGAAUCUUCCUCUCUCUACAGCCCUUAGGAUUAAGGGUUCUCUUAUAAAAGGGAGGGGGUAAAUAUGUCAGAGGCAUUUGAACCAGAGAAACUCCAUCUUGAAUAGUCCCUGUGUAAAAUAAGACUGAGACCUACUGGGAUGCAUUCCCAGGAGGUUAGGCAUUCUAAUUCACAGGAUGAGAUAAGAAGUCUCCACAAGAUACAGAUUAUAAAGAUUUGGCUGAUAAAACUGUUUGUGAUAAAGAAGCUGGCCAAAACACACCAAAACCAAGAUGCCAACAAAAGUGUCCUCUGGUUGUCCUCACUGCUCAUUAUAUGCUAAUUAUAAUGCAUUAGCAUGUUAAAAGACACUCCCACCAGUGCAAUGACAAUGUACAAAUGCCUUGGCAACAUCAAGAAGUUACCCUAUAUGGUUUAAAAAUGGUAGGAACCCUCAGUUCUGGGAAUUGCCCACCCCUUUUCUGGAAAACUCAUGAAUAAUCCACCCCUUAUUUAGCAUAUAAUCAAGAAAUAACUGGAAGUAUCCUUAGUGAAGCAGGCCAAGCCACUACUCUUCCUAUGGAGUAGACAUUCUUUCAUUAGUUAACUUUAUUAAUAAACUUGCUUUCACUUUAUGGAUUCACCUCAAAUUAUUUCUUGCAUGAGAUCCAAGAACCCUUUCUUGGGGUCUGGAUCUGGACUCCUUU
This 943-nucleotide long non-coding RNA is filed under the name Homo sapiens (human). RNAcentral's name for it is "HSALNT0407676". The record is from RNAcentral. Lineage: Eukaryota; Metazoa; Chordata; Mammalia; Primates; Hominidae.